AGAGAACGCUGGCGGUAGGCCUAACACAUGCAAGUCGAACGGCAGCACAGGAGAGCUUGCUCUCUGGGUGGCGAGUGGCGGACGGGUGAGGAAUACAUCGGAAUCUACUUUUUCGUGGGGGAUAACGUAGGGAAACUUACGCUAAUACCGCAUACGACCUACGGGUGAAAGCAGGGGACCUUCGGGCCUUGCGCGAUUGAAUGAGCCGAUGUCGGAUUAGCUAGUUGGCGGGGUAAAGGCCCACCAAGGCGCAGAUCCGUAGCUGGCCUGAGGGGAGGGUCAGCCACACGGGAACUGCGACACGGUCCAGACUCCUACGGGAGGCAGCAGUGGGGAAUAUUGGACAAUGGGCGCAAGCCUGAUCCAGCCAUACCGCGUGGGUGAAGAAGGCCUUCGUGUUGUAAAGCCCUUUUGUUGGGAAAGAAAUCCAGCUGGCUAAUACCCGGUUGGGAUGACGGUACCCAAAGAAUAAGCACCGGCUAACUUCGUGCCAGCCGCCGCAGUAA
RNAcentral lists this ribosomal RNA (506 nucleotides) under uncultured bacterium. RNAcentral's name for it is "partial 16S ribosomal RNA". It matches the Rfam family "Bacterial small subunit ribosomal RNA", at positions 31 to 523 of the family's 1533-position model. The record is from RNAcentral.